UAAACAAUUUUGACGGAGAUAAAUUUUACUUUUUGGAAUCUAAAGAGAGCUGAUGGAUGGUGCAAAUCAGUGAUUUCUAUUGUAGAGUAGCACUCUUGAAUUGGUGAACUGAACAAUUAUAGUAGGUUCAUUCGUGUCAUGCGCGUUAAGCAUUUUAACUAAGAUGCUGCAUUAUGCAGUAAAUUUGGGUGGUACCGCGUGAGUUUAUACAAGCUCUUCGCCCCUUAC
Molecule: non-coding RNA, 228 nt
Filed under: Psychrobacillus sp.
Lineage: Bacteria; Bacillati; Bacillota; Bacilli; Caryophanales; Bacillaceae
Description: T-box sequence
Rfam family: T-box leader
About the family: Uncharged tRNA acts as the effector for transcription antitermination of genes in the T-box leader family. T-boxes are found upstream of many aminoacyl-tRNA synthetase genes and some amino acid biosynthetic genes usually in Gram-positive bacteria.
Source: RNAcentral